UACGUAGGGUGCAAGCGUUGUCCGGAAUUAUUGGGCGUAAAGAGCUCGUAGGCGGUCUGUCGCGUCUGCUGUGAAAACUCGGGGCUUAACCCCGGGCCUGCAGUGGGUACGGGCAGACUAGAGUGCGGUAGGGGAGACUGGAAUUCCUGGUGUAGCGGUGAAAUGCGCAGAUAUCAGGAGGAACACCGGUGGCGAAGGCGGGUCUCUGGGCCGAUAUCGACGCUGAGGAGCGAAAGCGUGGGGAGCGAACAGG
This 253-nucleotide ribosomal RNA is filed under the name uncultured bacterium. RNAcentral describes it as "partial 16S ribosomal RNA". It matches the Rfam family "Bacterial small subunit ribosomal RNA", at positions 524 to 776 of the family's 1533-position model. The record is from RNAcentral.